This 321-nucleotide unclassified non-coding RNA is filed under the name uncultured fungus. RNAcentral describes it as "partial contains 5.8S ribosomal RNA, internal transcribed spacer 2, and large subunit ribosomal RNA". The record is from RNAcentral. Lineage: Eukaryota; Fungi.
AACGCACCUUGCGCUCCUUGGUAUUCCUUGGAGCAUGCCUGUUUGAGUAUCAUGAAAUCUUCAAAGUAAAUCUUUUGUUAAUUCAAUUGGUUCUACUUUGGUAUUGGAGGUCAUUGCAGUUUCACACCUGCUCCUCUUUGUGCAUUAGCUGGAUCUCAGUGUUAUGCUUGGUUCCACUCAGCGUGAUAAGUAUCUAUCGCUGAGGACACUGUAACAGGUGGCCAAGGUAAAUGCAGAUGAACCGCUUCUAAUAGUCCAUUGACUUGGACAAUACUUUUAUGAUCUGAUCUCAAAUCAGGUAGGACUACCCGCUGAACUUAA